GUAUGGUGGAAUAGGCCAAAGCGGCAGCGAUGGCAAUGAUCCACAGCUCCUGUUUCAGGUGAGCGACUUUCUCCACUUGGACUACGCUGGAGACAAGAACGACUCCUAGUAAGGUUCAGAACAUACCGGGGUUGAAUAGCAUCAAGCCGGGCGUACCAGGAGGCAGGAUUGGAGGGUGGAGCAGGACUCCACCUGUGCUUUCAGGUCUCCGAUUUUGCUGCAUGCAUAGGGCUGCUCUUAUGAUUCUUCUCUUUUAUCCUUUUAAAUGUAUAAUCGUCUGUAUGCAUAGUCUCUGGAAGUAUAUACAAGAUUGCUCAAACUUGUAUAUUUCUUGCCUUCGUUUUUUAUGGAAACGACAUCUUAACAGUAGCACAAAUAUUUCUAGACGCAUUGAUUAAAUUAGUAGUAUUCAGUUCUAAUCAUCCUCUUCAUUUUUCAUCACAGAAUUUCUUGCUUCCACUUGUCCUUACUAUUGGAGGGUGCCUUGGAGCUCCAAAGUACCCGGGUUCGGGAUGAUUUCCUUCACUAGGACGCCGCUGGGGACAAGAACGACUAGAUUUUCUUGCCGCCACCUUUCCUGAAUAUGGAUGGUGCCUUGGAGCUGGAAAAUGGGUGUCCGGGCUGGUGCUGCUUAAGCUCUCAUACGACGGGCUUAGACUGCUGACCGCCACCACAUGGCGAAGGUUCAGGAUUGGGUGCAGUGGUGCUGGUAGAGCCCACUGCUAGCAGCAGCAAUGAUGACGCUGUGCAUGAAAGUCCAGGAGGGCGCCUUGGUAGAGGACGGUGACUUUCUCCUUCACUAGGAUGCAUGAAGCUGCCACUUGGGACAAGAAUGAACAACUAGGUGCCUCCUGCUGCCUGCCUUUUACUGAUUGAUUAUUCCCUGGCUGUCUGUUGCGCAAUACAAUCGUCUGGUUGUGAAUUUA
Non-coding RNA from Lolium perenne, 926 nucleotides. NCBI's taxonomy places the organism in Eukaryota, Viridiplantae, Streptophyta, Magnoliopsida, Poales, Poaceae. The record is from RefSeq and is a predicted model, not a curated record.